CCCUUAGAUGUCCUGGGCCGCACGCGCGCUACACUGAGUGUCUGAGAUACGAGUCUGCCUGGUCCGGCAAGGUCUAGGUAAUCGCUAAAAGACACAUCAUGCUUGGGAUAGAUUAUUGCAAAUAUCAAUCUUGAACGAGGAAUUCCUAGUAAGCGCAAGUCAACAGCUUGCGUUGAUUACGUCCCUGCCCUUUGUACACACCGCCCGUCGCUACUACUGAUUGGAUGUUUAAGCGAGGUUCUCGAACUGCUAGCGACUUAGCUUCGGUGAGGUCGCAGCGUGGGAAGUGAACCUAGCUUUGGUGUCUAGAGGAAGUAAAAGUCGUAACA
This 329-nucleotide ribosomal RNA is filed under the name uncultured eukaryote. RNAcentral describes it as "partial 18S ribosomal RNA". It matches the Rfam family "Eukaryotic small subunit ribosomal RNA", at positions 1470 to 1796 of the family's 1831-position model. The record is from RNAcentral.